Molecule: long non-coding RNA, 1342 nt
Organism: Erinaceus europaeus (western European hedgehog)
Lineage: Eukaryota; Metazoa; Chordata; Mammalia; Eulipotyphla; Erinaceidae
Exons: 5
Source: RefSeq, a predicted model, not a curated record
AAAAAAAAUGCCUAGGAGACUUUUUUCAGUGACUUUUCUUCCUAUCCUCUUUAUUGGUGUGAGCCUUGUGUGGGUUUGUCUGCCUCAGCUGACGACUCCUGUACUCCCUACCCGGAAACUUUCUAUACACUGAUAUGCUUCUGCUCUAUAAAUUGUCUAUGGCUAUGCACCCAAUCUCAUCUGAUCUUUUCUACAAACUAACUUUGUUCAUGGCUGAGGAACUUGAUCAGAUAUCUCCCCAGUAGCCGACAGGAAUGCUUAUUAGGGUAGUGAAUACCAUGACCCAAAAAUGAGAGUUAAUUUUGGAAAUUGGAGCCACACUGCUCUGGAGGCAGGUGCAGGCCCCACUCAGAACAGCAGCCAACCUUACCCCCAGGCAGAGCCCUGUGCUGCUGAACUUUGGGGAGGAAGGAAGACACACAGUCUUCUAUUCCAGCAGUAUUUGAUGGAAACCAGUGGGAGGAGAGAGUCUCUGCAGCUUUGACAUCAAACUGAUAGUACAUGGCUGAUAUCACUGGGCAGUUGGAGCAGCAGAUGAGGACUACUUCACUGGCUGCAUUUAGUCAGCGGGUUACACAUGAACAUGGACUCCUGCAAUGUCCUGCCCAAAAGCACAGAGCCACCAUCUCCUGCCAAUCAACUGUAAUAAUGUGAGGAGCUCAUGGUGCCCCCUAGAGCUAGGAAUACCAAAGGAGACCACCCAGGACCGAAACAAGACAGGAUUAGAAUGACCACAGGAACCCAGUAAAUCACCAAGCACUGCUCAGCUCUGGUAUGAUGGUGCACGGGAUUGAACCUGGGACUUCAAAGCCUCAGGCAUGAGGGUCUCUUUGCAUAACCACUACGCUAUCUACCCCCGCUCAGAACAAGUUGCUUAAUAAUCAAGAACAUAAAGCCACCAAGUUGCGGACAUUACUAGGAUUCCAUCCAGACUUUCCUGGGCAAAUGACCUCACCAGUAUGUCCCUAAGUCUCACCUCUCCAGAGCCCUAGCCCUCUAGGCUGGGGGUAUGCAUCAACCUGCUAACACCUAUGUCCAGCGGAGAAGCAAUUACAGAAGCCAAACCUCCCACUUUCUGCAUCCCAUAAAAAGUUUUGUUCCAUAUUCCCAGGGGGAUAAAGAAUGGGAACUUCCCAAUUGAGGGGAUGGGACAUGGAACUCUGACGGUGAGAACUGUGUGGAAUUAUACCAGUUAUAUUAUAAUCUUGUUGAUCAUUAUUAAAUCACUAGUACUUUGUUAAAAAAAAAAAAGCAGUAUUAUGAACCAUAUAAUCAGCAUGGUUCCUAUUUCAGUUCAGAAAUGAAUAUAGACUAAAAUAAAUACUGGAAGGAUAUACAUCUA